Molecule: ribosomal RNA, 1632 nt
Filed under: Triticum aestivum (bread wheat)
Lineage: Eukaryota; Viridiplantae; Streptophyta; Magnoliopsida; Poales; Poaceae
Description: partial small subunit ribosomal RNA
Source: RNAcentral
AUGGCAGCGACGGCGGCCGCUAGGGGCACCGCUUCUCGCUCCCCUCUCCUCAUCCACCACCACCGACUCCCUCAGGUUCCAGCCGGUGGGGGAGGUUCGUUGAGGGUGGGCGCGCUCGGGGCCGGACGGGAUUGGAGACGACGGGUCCGGGUUUUCGCGCGCUAUUCCUCCCAGCCACAAGACUUCUCCAGUCGGCUCCAAGAUAGAGCUGGUGAAUUGCCGAAAUUAGUCGAGGAUCUUCUCCAGACGUCGAUUAGCACAGGGCCUCGAGGUGCCUUUAGGAUGGCACAAGGGAUCCAAGCUCUCCUUGGGGUUGGUGGGGAGUGGCUAAACGACUUCUCGAAGACAGCUAACACAUCAGAAGGAAUUCCAGCUCAGAUGCGGCUUGGUUUGCUUUCUCCUCUUUACCUCAGAAGGCUUUUUGAACGCAUGGGUGCAACUUAUAUCAAGCUAGGUCAGUUCAUAGCGUCUGCACCGACUUUCUUUCCUGCAGAAUAUGUUGAAGAAUUCCAGAAUUGUUUUGACCGAGCACCACCUGUUCCUUAUAGCGAGAUCGAGUCGAUAUUGCGUGAGGAGUUGCAGCGGCCAUUGGAUAGUGUCUAUGAGUACAUUGAUCCCGUGCCAAUAGCAUCUGCUUCAAUAGCACAGGUUCAUGGGGCUAGGUUGAAGAGCUCUCAGAAGGAUGUGGUGAUUAAAGUCCUGAAACCUGGAAUUGAAGAUACUUUGGUUGCCGAUCUGAAUUUUAUCUAUCUUGUUGCACGUGUUUUGGAGUUUCUAAGCCCUGAAUUAGAGAGGACAUCACUGGUAGCUAUCAUCAAGGACAUAAAGGAAUCAAUGCUUGAGGAAGUUGAUUUUAGAAAGGAGGCUGUAAAUAUGGAGGCUUUCCAGAGAUACAUCGAAGCAAUGGGAUUUGAUAGGCAGGCCAAAUCUCCAUUUGUGUAUCAGCACUGCAGCACAAAGCGUGUCUUAACUAUGGAAAGAUUGUAUGGCGUUCCACUCACCGAUCUUGAUUCUAUAAGGUCUCUUGUUCCUGAUCCUGAGUUGACUUUAGUCACUGCCCUCAAUGUCUGGUUUGGAAGCUUGAUCUCAUGUGAAUCCUUCCAUGCGGAUGUGCAUGCAGGAAACCUAUGGUUACUUCGUGAUGGGCGUGUUGGGUUUAUUGAUUUUGGAAUUGUUGGUCGAAUAUCCCCAAGGACUUGGGCUGCUAUGGAGAUUUUUUUGGCUUCUUUCGCAACUGAGGAUUACAAUGCUAUGGCAUCGGCCCUUUCCGAAAUGGGUGCUACAGGGAAUGAUAUAGAUGUUGACUCCUUUGCAAAGGACUUGCAAAAGAUAUUCUCGUCGCUACAGCAGGAGUUGGAUACUGAAAUUAUAGUGGCAGCUGCAAGAAGUUCUGAUGCUACAGCUGUAUCUGCUAAUGUUGUUGUAGACGAGAGGCAGAUGAAUGCACUGUUUCUUGAUCUGGUAAGGGUUAGCGAGUCAUAUGGGCUGAGAUUUCCUAGGGAAUUCGCUCUUCUCAUGAAGCAGCUUCUUUAUUUUGAUCGGUACACGAGGCUGCUGGCUCCCAGCAUGAACAUGCUGCGAGAUGAGAGGAUUAACAUUACUUCCAACAAGCAGACCAGAAGAAUGAAUUGA